RNAcentral lists this ribosomal RNA (801 nucleotides) under Triticum aestivum (bread wheat). Its description in RNAcentral is "partial small subunit ribosomal RNA". The record is from RNAcentral. Lineage: Eukaryota; Viridiplantae; Streptophyta; Magnoliopsida; Poales; Poaceae.
GUGGAGCGAGGGCACCUGCGGGCACGCGGCAGGUCGUGCGCCUACAGCACGACGGCGGGUAGGGCGCCAACUUCUCAACCUAUUCUCGGGAGGGAGCUGCGGGGAGAGAGACGGUACUUGGGAUCGAGGGAGGUAAAAGGGGAGACCGCGGCAAGAGGUGGUUUAGCUCGGCGCAAGCUCUCGAGGGUACCGACGCGGCAGCUGCAACCGCGCCUGUGGCCGGAGGGGAGCGGAUAGGUCGUCCAGGUCCUCUGCGCGUGGAAGUGGGAGAAGCAGAUGCUGUUCAGCGCGCUCGUCCCUGCGGGAGUGCGGCGGCGUUAGCAGCUAGGGGUAGCAGCCGGCAGCGAAGAUGGAGCAGCAGCUGGGCGGCGACGGACGCGAGGGCAAGUAAGCUUCUCGGUGGUACACGAGGGACUGGGGUACUGCCGAUGGCUACAGCGACAUUAGCUGAUGCAGCUGCUACUGGGAGGAAGAGCGGACUCGUUGGUCUACCACCUAGGAACCUCGGUCUACGGUGGCGGCUACCUACGUUGAUGUACCUCUGGCGGCUACUGGUCCUCAUCAAUCCUCCAGGGUCCGCCCUCCGGAACCGAGAAGCUAGCACAACGAAAACACGAUCGGAAGAAUUCCGUAGGAACAAAUUGAAUAAAGACAUGAGUUUAUAACAACGAAGGCGACUGAGAACACAUAGCUCGAUACAUAAGCUCGGGAGCUCCGGGGACCGAACAUUAUAUUUCGAACAUAAUAAAAUAAACACAGAUCUCAACACAACACUAUAGAAGGGCACUCAGAAACUAGAAC